This 464-nucleotide ribosomal RNA is filed under the name uncultured bacterium. RNAcentral describes it as "SSU rRNA". It matches the Rfam family "Bacterial small subunit ribosomal RNA", at positions 26 to 518 of the family's 1533-position model. The record is from RNAcentral.
AGGAUUAACGCUGGCGGCGUGCCUAACACAUGCAAGUCGAACGAGGUAGCAAUACCUAGUGGCAGACGGGUGAGUAGCGCGUGGUCAACCUACCGUUGAGUGGGGGAUAACUAGCCGAAAGGUUAGCUAAAUACCGCAUACGUCUCCGAGGGGCAUCCCUUGGUGAUAAAAGGAGCAAUCCGCUCGAUGACGGGACCGCGUCCCAUUAGCUAGUUGGUGGGGUAACGGCCUACCAAGGCAUCGAUGGGUAGCUGGUUUGAGAGAGCGACCAGCCACACUGGGACUGAGAUACGGCCCAGACUCCUACGGGAGGCAGCAGUGAGGAAUUUUGCGCAAUGGGGGAAACCCUGACGCAGCAACGCCGCGUGGAGGAUGAAGCCCCUUGGGUGUAAACUCCUUUCGACGGGGAAGAUAAUGACGGUACCCGUAGAAGAAGCCCCGGCUAACUUCGUGCCAGCAGCCGC